UCCCAUAGAUCAUAUGGAGGAAGUUCUCUCAGUUGAGGGGAAUGUUGUCUGGCUCGAGGUCACCAAUUAGAUCCAUAAUCCCUAUAUAUACCAUGCUUUUCAAAAAAAAGAUUUAUAAUAUGAAAAGGGGUUAUGAAUCAUGUGUUAGUGUUGUCGGACCAGGCUUCAUUCCCCCCAAUUGUUACUCCUCUAGCUAGGGGA
Molecule: non-coding RNA, 201 nt
Organism: Solanum lycopersicum (tomato)
Lineage: Eukaryota; Viridiplantae; Streptophyta; Magnoliopsida; Solanales; Solanaceae
Gene: MIR166B
Product: microRNA MIR166b
Source: RefSeq, marked provisional